Molecule: ribosomal RNA, 324 nt
Filed under: uncultured eukaryote
Lineage: Eukaryota
Description: partial 18S ribosomal RNA
Rfam family: Eukaryotic small subunit ribosomal RNA
Source: RNAcentral
CCCUUAGAUGUUCUGGGCUGCACGCGCGCUACACUGAAGCGUUCAACGAGUAUUCACCUUGCCCGGGAGGGUUGGGUAAUCUUUUGAAAACGCUUCGUGAUGGGGAUAGAUUAUUGCAAUUAUUAAUCUUCAACGAGGAAUUCCUAGUAAGCGCGAGUCAUCAGCUCGUGCUGAUUACGUCCCUGCCCUUUGUACACACCGCCCGUCGCUCCUACCGAUUGAAUGCUCAGGUGAGCCAUUCGGACUUUCAUCAUGCUGGUUUCCAGUUUUGAUGAAGGAAAGUCUUGCGAACCUUAUCAUUUAGAGGAAGGAGAAGUCGUAACA